AUUGAACGCUGGCGGAAUGCUUUACACAUGCAAGUCGAGCGGCAGCGCGGGGGGCAACCCUGGCGGCGAGCGGCGAACGGGUGAGUAACACAUCGGAACGUACCCAGUGGUGGGGGAUAGCCCGGCGAAAGCCGGAUUAAUACCGCAUACGACCUGAGGGGGAAAGUGGGGGACCGCAAGGCCUCACGCCGUUGGAGCGGCCGAUGUUCGAUUAGCUAGUUGGUAGGGUAAAGGCCUACCAAGGCGACGAUCGAUAGCUGGUCUGAGAGGACGACCAGCCACACUGGAACUGAGACACGGUCCAGACUCCUACGGGAGGCAGCAGUGGGGAAUUUUGGACAAUGGGGGCAACCCUGAUCCAGCCAUGCCGCGUGUGUGAAGAAGGCCUCGGUUGUAAGACGACUUUGUUGGGUAGAACGGACCGGG
Molecule: ribosomal RNA, 426 nt
Filed under: uncultured bacterium
Lineage: Bacteria
Description: bacterial SSU rRNA
Rfam family: Bacterial small subunit ribosomal RNA
Source: RNAcentral